RNAcentral lists this ribosomal RNA (433 nucleotides) under uncultured bacterium. RNAcentral's name for it is "partial 16S ribosomal RNA". It matches the Rfam family "Bacterial small subunit ribosomal RNA", at positions 29 to 507 of the family's 1533-position model. The record is from RNAcentral.
AACGAACGCUGGCGGCAUGCCUAACACAUGCAAGUCGAACGAGACCUUCGGGUCUAGUGGCGCACGGGUGCGUAACGCGUGGGAACCUGCCUUUAGGUUCGGAAUAACUCAGAGAAAUUUGAGCUAAUACCGGAUGAUGUCUUCGGACCAAAGAUUUAUCGCCUUUAGAUGGGCCCGCGUUGGAUUAGCUAGUUGGUGGGGUAAAGGCCUACCAAGGCGACGAUCCAUAGCUGGUCUGAGAGGAUGAUCAGCCACACUGGGACUGAGACACGGCCCAGACUCCUACGGGAGGCAGCAGUGGGGAAUAUUGGACAAUGGGCGAAAGCCUGAUCCAGCAAUGCCGCGUGAGUGAUGAAGGCCUUAGGGUUGUAAAGCUCUUUUACCCGAGAUGAUAAUGACAGUAUCGGGAGAAUAAGCUCCGGCCAACUCCGUG